CGGCGGACGGGUGAGUAACACGUGGAUAACCUACCUAUAAGACUGGGAUAACUUCGGGAAACCGGAGCUAAUACCGGAUAAUAUAUUGAACCGCAUUGUUCAAUAGUGAAAGACGGUUUUGCUGUCACUUAUAGAUGGAUCCGCGCCGCAUUAGCUAGUUGGUAAGGUAACGGCUUACCAAGGCAACGAUGCGUAGCCGACCUUAGAGGGUGAUCGGCCACACUGGAACUGAGACACGGUCCAG
Molecule: ribosomal RNA, 244 nt
Filed under: uncultured Staphylococcus sp.
Lineage: Bacteria; Bacillati; Bacillota; Bacilli; Caryophanales; Staphylococcaceae
Description: partial 16S ribosomal RNA
Rfam family: Bacterial small subunit ribosomal RNA
Source: RNAcentral